This is a non-coding RNA of Scatophagus argus, 1945 nucleotides long. Lineage: Eukaryota; Metazoa; Chordata; Actinopteri; Scatophagidae. The record is from the annotation of a RefSeq genome assembly.
UCUUCAUUUUUGUCCACAAUUAACUGCCUCCACAACAUAACGAAUAAGUCUACAGAUGUUUUCAUGUUUAUAUACUUCAUACAUCACUGACAGCCAGUGUGUGAUCUUCCCAGUGAGAAAUAAUGGACAGUGAUGUAGAAAGGCUUACAGACAGGUACAGGUCCCAGUUAAGGACAUAAAACAUGAGGGAAGAAAGAAACACUGGAAUCCAUGACAAGGACACAGUGGAGGUGGGCUGGUAUAUGUAGUGAGUGACUGAUGAGGGAAUGAGGUGCAGCUGAGGAGGUUGGCAGGAAACUGCAGGGAGGAUGAGAAAAGUGGGAACAGGUGUGAAGAUGGAUGAGGCAGUCAGGUGAUGGAGGAAGGAGGGAAAGUCUGAGGGCAUCUGGUGUGUCUCUCUGUCACUACAUGGACUUGAGACAAAGAAAUCUGUCCACCCGUAACUGAUGAAGACUUCCAUGUCUUCUGGCUCUGCCCACAUGUCCAACAGGUCUGGUUGGAGUCUCGGUCUCAGCAUCCCCUCAUCCCUCAUCACUGCUUUACUUGUUCAAAAUGUCCACAUUACAAACACCUACAAACAUGUCAGACCUGCUGCUACCAGAUUCUUCAGUGUCCUCUGCAUGUAAAUGUGUAGUUGGGUGGUGUCAGCAGUGAGGGGGAAACAGCAGGACAUGUUGAGGACAGCUACAGUCCACUGACUCUGUGUGUUUGCAUAUGUGUCCUGCCUCUGUGCUCCCAGCCGUUAAGAGGCCAGUGUUGAUCAGUGGCUGUCCAGGCCUUUCAGAGCCACUGACCUGCCGGCAGCACAAUGAUGAUGUCCCUGAUCCUACUGCUGCUCACCCUGGGGCUCCUUGUUCAGGAUUCAUCAGGAGAAAUCAUCCUGACUCAGUCUCCUCAAACUCAGUCUGUUGUUCCAGGGCAGACUGUCUCCAUCAGCUGUAGAGCCAGUUCAAGUAUGGGUAGCUACCUGCACUGGUACCUUCAGAAACCUGGAGAAGCUCCUAAACUUCUAGUUUAUUAUGCUACAACUCGUUACUCUGGAGUUCCUGAUCGUUUUAGUGGAAGUGGAUCUGGGAUUGACUUCACUCUGACCAUCAGUGGAGUUCAGGGUGAAGAUUCAGGAGUUUAUUACUGUCUACAGUGUGGUUACAGCCUCCCGUUCACACAGUGAAACAACAUUGUACAAAAACCUCCUCAGCUGGAAGAACUGAUCUGAAUCAGCAGCAGCACAGAAAUGAAAACACUAAGGCUUUCAGUAAAAUACACUUUAGACAAUAACAGGGAUAGAAGGUAACUGUCAGUAUAAAAGGAAUAUGUGUAUUUCUUUCUAUAAUAAUAUUGUUGCCGUUUAUUCCAAAUUUUUUGAAAGUCUGACAAUAAUGUAAAAUGUAAAAGCAACAAUAUGUUCAGUUGUGGUUUUUACUAAUGUCAUUAGAAAAAUGAAAUUAUUUAUAAAUAUUAAUUGCAUGCUGAAUGAAUUUUUUUUCUUGGUUUAUUUUGAAAGAAGAAACUUUAUUUUAAGAACCUGAAAGCAGAAAAUAAUCAAGGAACUUUAACUCUGAUAAUGAAUUGAGAUUGUUUUCAAUUAUAUCUUUUUUAUUCUAUUCAUUGCCUUUCUCUCAGUGACAAAAUCUUUUGGUAAACUUAUACUGUCUCAGUUUAAUAUAAUUUGACUGAAAAUGUCAAAUUAAACUCAGAUAGUAUCACUUUACGCAGAUGACCCUCUGCUUUUUAUGCAACAUUAAUAAAAAUCCUCAUGAUUUAUAUUUUUAAAUUGAGAUUUAACAACGCAAUCACGUGGCAUGAGGAUAUUGUUGGGUAAACAUCAGUAAUAAAAUAAAGUUUUUAAUCACCAAAGAUGAUUAAUUUUGAUAAAACUGGAAUGACUACAGAAGACAUCCACAGUCUUAAACCAUUAAAAAGUCAUCUGGAAUAAAUUGACUUC